AGAAACCACUUGACAACGAAUCAGAAACACGUUGGAGGCGUCAUUCAAAUGCCCGGGAACACAACUGGCUCCAAUUGAAUGCAGCAGCUUGGCACAUGCAUUGAUAGGAGAGUGGAUAGCUAUCAUACCAAGGCCAUAGACAAGGUCAAGGAUAGCAGGGUUUGGUACACGAAUCGGGUUCUCGGUAGGUCCAGGUCCAAACACCAACAGUUCCUUGAAUUAGAAUUGAGGAAAUUCCCUGCAAUCCUCAAACUGGAAAUUGCGAAAACUGUCUCUAACCAGAAUAGAAAGAGGAGUGAGGGGCCCCGGUGCACAACUGAGCAAGAGGACAAGUACAUUAGUGUCUAGUUUGAGAAACAGACGCCUCAGAAGUCCUGAAAUGGCAGCUUCAUUAAAUAGUACUCACAAAACACCAGUCUCAACUUCAACAGUGAAUAUUAUGAUAAUAAUCUGGUUUUUUUUAGCUUUAUUUUGUCAUCAAUUAAGGAGUAGCUGUCAAAUUCUCUAUUUUCACAAAUGACACCAGUUGAAUUGAGAGGAGUUUUUUGUAAUAUAGUGACAAUUAUGUGUUCUAGCUAUAUUUUGGCAUCAAUUAAGGAGUAAUGUCUGUUUUUUGCUUAACAAUUCUCUAGUUUCACAAUUGAUGCCAUUUAGAUCAAGAGUAGGUUUUGUAAUAUGACAAUUAUCUUGUGUUUUUGUGUGACUUUGGCAUCAAAUUCAGGAGUCAUUUCUGGGUUUAUGCUGUCUAUUUCUCUAUUUUCACAACUGAUACCAGUUCAAAUUUGGAAGUUUUUUGUAAUAUUAUGUUUAUAAUCUGUGUUCUUUUGUCAUCAUAUUUUGUCAUCAAUUAAGGAGUUAUUUAGGACUUUUAGCUGGCCAAUUCUUUAUUUUCACAACCAAUGCCAGCAAAAAAAAGAGGAUUCCAUUUUUUUUAAUGGAGUUAAUGUUGUAAAAUUGCAGCAAUAUACUUUAUUUAAUUGAAAGUAAAAUCACAGUUUUUAUACAGAUUAUUUACAUACAUUUUUAGUCUGUAGUUUUAGUCUAUUUCUGGCACCCGUGCUGCCAGACUUUUACCGUAAAUUAACAGGAUUCUAAUUUUAUUUUUACUGUGUAGGCUCUCUUCCACUUUGGUAGUGAUAUCUGAUUCCUUCUCACCUCUGUGGUUGCAUGUUAGAGCUGAGGAGAGAGGGGCUGCAUGACAUUAAUACCUAACUAGUUAACUACGGACAGUGUUUGUUUAACUGGAUGGAAGCUGUGGGCUAGGCAGUCCUCUGGGUCUUCAUGCAUUGGCGCCUCUUUCCCUGGAAACUGAAACAUCCUGGUAACACAGAGCCAAUUUACAACCUGCUGGAUCCUAGAUUUUGUUUGCAAAGAAGUGAAAUUGGCAUUUAUUCAACGCUGCAUUGAAAGUGUUUCUCCCUGGGGGUUUUUGUCAACCUGUCAAGCUCUCUCCCUGACACUCUCCUGUGCUAGGUGGUAUUAGAAUAGAUAUCAAAAUAAUCAGCUAUGUUUUCUCCUCCAUCCCUUGGCCUCCUCCGGUAUUGCCACUCUCUCUCUCGAUCCAAUUUGACAUUCUCAUUGUUUAACAUGGCGUGGAUCUUGGGAUGGUUAAUAUUAUCCCAGCGUGCUGGGAAAGGGGUGGUGGGUAGCCUAGUGGUUAGAGCGAAAGGUUGCUAUAUCGAAUCCCCAAGCUGACAAGGUACAAAUCUGUCGUUCUGCCCCUGAACAAGACUUGCCUAGUUAAAUAAAGGUUCAAUUUUAAAAAAUAAGUCAGGUAAACCUCUAAGUGAAAUUUGGUUGUGGAACACCAGAGAGCGAUCGCCUCUGGCUACAUGCUAGAGACAGAAGGAGAGCCAUCAAAAUUCAACAGCUUGAGGCCGUAAAUCAGAAACCAGAGGGCAUCACUAGACCAGAAUAUAUACUUGAUUUACCGAAACUGCCUGAAAGGUGUCUCCUCAGAAUCCAUUAUAUGUGUAUAAAGAAGGAAGUUUCAAAUUUGUGAUAAGAAUAUGCUCAUUUCAAUUUGUGUUACUGUAGACUGAACAUGUAUACAUUUUUCCUGGAUUUAAUUAAUACUACAUUCUUCCCAAUGCUCCCAGUCAUCUGCCAGUACUAAGUUUGUCUAGGUUCAGGGGCAAAUGUAACUUCUGGUCUCAAGGAGGGUGAAAUCAGACUGUUUAAAGCUACUGUACACAUGGUUUACCUCUGGUUAGGUUAUUUUGUCCUUUAUAUCUUCCUGAUAUGUUUUGUUAAAUGUAUUGCUGCUUAAGCAUGACAGAGAUUUUUUUUAAAGAGAUUCUAACAAUGUUUUUUUCCUUCCUGUUUGACUGAGCUUAACUGAGUGGCUGGGGUGUACUUGGGUGGACAAAUCUAUUCUGACAAAUUAAUCCAGGCCUUGUAUCUGUGCUGCUGUUGUGUGUGAGCGUGUUUUACAUCAUUUUUAUGAUGGAGGAUAAAAUAUUGAAUGUCCUGUAAACUGGAUAAGAUAUUAAAGC
Oncorhynchus tshawytscha (Chinook salmon) is the source of this 2495-nucleotide long non-coding RNA. The record is from Ensembl. Lineage: Eukaryota; Metazoa; Chordata; Actinopteri; Salmoniformes; Salmonidae.